Molecule: ribosomal RNA, 355 nt
Filed under: uncultured Sphingobacteriales bacterium
Lineage: Bacteria; Pseudomonadati; Bacteroidota; Sphingobacteriia; Sphingobacteriales
Description: bacterial SSU rRNA
Rfam family: Bacterial small subunit ribosomal RNA
Source: RNAcentral
AUUUUACGAGGUGCUGCAUGGUUGUCGUCAGCUCGUGCCGUGAGGUGUACGGGUUAAGUCCCAUGACGAGCGCAACCCUACCUUUAGUUGCCAUCAGGUAAUGCUGGGGACUCUAAAGGAACUGCCUACGCAAGUAGUGAGGAAGGUGGGGAUGACGUCAAAUCAGCACGGCCCUUACGUCCAGGGCUACACACGUGCUACAAUGGCCGAUACAGAGGGCAGCUACCUGGUGACAGGAUGCAAAUCUCCAAAGUCGGUCUCAGUUCGGAUCGGAGUCUGCAACCCGACUCCGUGAAGUUGGAUUCGCUAGUAAUCGCGCAUCAGCCAUGGCGCGGUGAAUACGUUCCCGGGCCUU